Molecule: ribosomal RNA, 444 nt
Filed under: uncultured bacterium
Lineage: Bacteria
Description: partial 16S ribosomal RNA
Rfam family: Bacterial small subunit ribosomal RNA
Source: RNAcentral
GUAGGGAAUAUUGGGCAAUGGGUGCAAGCCUGACCCAGCCAUCCCGCGUGCCGGAUGAAGGCCCUCUGGGUCGUAAACGGCUUUUGACGGUGAAGAACCGAAAGGGUGCGCCCUUUUUUGACGGUAGCCGUUGAAUAAGCACCGGCUAACUCCGUGCCAGCAGCCGCGGUAAUACGGAGGGUGCGAGCGUUGUCCGGAUUUAUUGGGUUUAAAGGGUGCGUAGGCUGGAGGGACAGUCAGCGGUGAAAAGCAGUUGCUCAACAAUUGUCUUGCCGCAGAUACUACCUUUCGUGGAUUGGGAGGAGGUUACCGGAACGGAUGGUGUAGCGGUGAAAUGCAUAGAUAUCAUCCAGAACGCCAAUUGCGAAGGCAGGUAACUGUACCUAUAUCGACGCUGAUGCACGAAAGCAUGGGUAGCGAACAGGAUUAGAAACCCGAGUGUCC